GCUUGCCCAAUUGUUUUCCCUUAUUUGGGCUAGGUUGAGCUAAGCUCGAUGAACGAUUCUUUUUUUGCUCUCGAGCCUACUCAGAUGAACAAGUAUGUUUUGCAUUCGAAUAUAGUGCGGGCUAUUCGAAAUAUCUAGUUUCGUCUUAAGAAAAAAAUGAUAGAUAAUAUACUUGAUAUCAACGUGGGCUCACAUGAGCUCGAAAUUUAUGGUCUAAUUACGUGCGAAAACACACAAUCAGGUAUGGAGAACAAUGAGUUAUUACAAUGGCUCUCUUUAGAUUUAGUUAAUGACAGGCUUCGUAAUCUUUAUAACUCCCUCUCCUUCCAUAUUCUAGCGUGAUAACGAUGAGUCAUCAUCAUAACCUAACAACAAUUUAUGGGACCAUACGGUGAGUCGACCAAAAGACAACUUCUGUCGAAGGAUUCAGUGCAAAACAAAAGCCGCAGGAAGAUGAUGGAAGAAGAAUUUUUAGCGAGGGAGAGCACUGAGUUCGGCAGAGCUCCAGCUCAGUUUCUGACGUCUCUCGGCCUUUGCUCCCACGACAACGGCUCCUUCUACUCGGCUCCUCGCCGUUCGAUCGCUUACCAGAGGAGAGGCUUCUUCAUCGACUUUCUUCCUUCUCGGUUUCUGUUGAUGUCCUGGACCUAGGUUGUUGCUGAUGGUAAUGACUGAUGCGAAUCGCUGCUUGAAGAUGGCGUAUAUUAGUUCUUUAACGGGGAGGCGUUUUAACUGUUCGACAGAAUGCCUGACUCAGUCAUAGAUAGUUAAUUCCUAUUGCAUUCUGCUUACCAACGUUUUGAUGUCCCAUUGAAGUUGCACUGCUCGUCUCUUACUGCAUUUCUCGUAUAAAGUUGAUAGAAAUGCGAUUAUGUGUGCUUUUAGUAUGUCAAAUGUGGGUCACGUGUGUUUGAUG
Molecule: long non-coding RNA, 916 nt
Filed under: Eucalyptus grandis
Lineage: Eukaryota; Viridiplantae; Streptophyta; Magnoliopsida; Myrtales; Myrtaceae
Description: long non-coding RNA (EGRA_LNC007086)
Source: RNAcentral